CUUGAGGCAGUCUACACAUGCAAGUCGAGCGGUAGCACAGAGAGCUUGCUCUCGGGUGACGAGCGGCGGACGGGUGAGUAAUGUCUGGGAAACUGCCUGAUGGAGGGGGAUAACUACUGGAAACGGUAGCUAAUACCGCAUAACGUCGCAAGACCAAAGUGGGGGACCUUCGGGCCUCAUGCCAUCAGAUGUGCCCAGAUGGGAUUAGCUGGUAGGUGGGGUAACGGCUCACCUAGGCGACGAUCCCUAGCUGGUCUGAGAGGAUGACCAGCCACACUGGAACUGAGACACGGUCCAGACUCCUACGGGAGGCAGCAGUGGGGAAUAUUGCACAAUGGGCGCAAGCCUGAUGCAGCCAUGCCGCGUGUGUGAAGAAGGCCUUCGGGUUGUAAAGCACUUUCAGCGGGGAGGAAGGCGGUGAGGUUAAUAACCUCAUCGAUUGACGUUACCCGCAGAAGAAGCCCGGCUAACUCCGUGCCAGCAGCCGCGGUAAUACGGAGGGUGCAAGCGUUAAUCGGAAUUACUGGGCGUAAAGCGCACGCAGGCGGUCUGUCAAGUCGGAUGUGAAAUCCCCGGGCUCAACCUGGGAACUGCAUUCGAAACUGGCAGGCUAGAGUCUUGUAGAGGGGGGUAGAAUUCCAGGUGUAGCGGUGAAAUGCGUAGAGAUCUGGAGGAAUACCGGUGGCGAAGGCGGCCCCCUGGACAAAGACUGACGCUCAGGUGCGAAAGCGUGGGGAGCAAACAGGAUUAGAUACCCUGGUAGUCCACGCUGUAAACGAUGUCGAUUUGGAGGUUGUGCCCUUGAGGCGUGGCUUCCGGAGCUAACGCGUUAAAUCGACCGCCUGGGGAGUACGGCCGCAAGGUUAAAACUCAAAUGAAUUGACGGGGGCCCGCACAAGCGGUGGAGCAUGUGGUUUAAUUCGAUGCAACGCGAAGAACCUUACCUGGUCUUGACAUCCACAGAACUUUCCAGAGAUGGAUUGGUGCCUUCGGGAACUGUGAGACAGGUGCUGCAUGGCUGUCGUCAGCUCGUGUUGUGAAAUGUUGGGUUAAGUCCCGCAACGAGCGCAACCCUUAUCCUUUGUUGCCAGCGGUUAGGCCGGGAACUCAAAGGAGACUGCCAGUGAUAAACUGGAGGAAGGUGGGGAUGACGUCAAGUCAUCAUGGCCCUUACGACCAGGGCUACACACGUGCUACAAUGGCAUAUACAAAGAGAAGCGACCUCGCGAGAGCAAGCGGACCUCAUAAAGUAUGUCGUAGUCCGGAUUGGAGUCUGCAACUCGACUCCAUGAAGUCGGAAUCGCUAGUAAUCGUAGAUCAGAAUGCUACGGUGAAUACGUUCCCGGGCCUUGUACACACCGCCCGUCACACCAUGGGAGUGGGUUGCAAAAGAAGUAGGUAGCUUAACCUUCGGGAGGGCGCUACCACUUGGUUACGGG
Molecule: ribosomal RNA, 1439 nt
Filed under: Klebsiella sp. SR-142
Lineage: Bacteria; Pseudomonadati; Pseudomonadota; Gammaproteobacteria; Enterobacterales; Enterobacteriaceae
Description: bacterial SSU rRNA
Rfam family: Bacterial small subunit ribosomal RNA
Source: RNAcentral